GACACAAAGUGCAGCAACAGUGAAAAUGAAACCUUCUUAAACAAAACAGUAAUAAUACCACACUCAUUUUACACUCUUCAUAAGGUUGGGAUACUGUGCCCUCCAAAAGUAUCGGAACACUUGGAAUUCCACACAUUAUACUUUGUUUAUGCCAUUUCAAAUACAAAUAAAUAAAUACA
Thalassophryne amazonica is the source of this 179-nucleotide long non-coding RNA. RefSeq lists it as uncharacterized. The transcript is spliced from 2 exons. NCBI's taxonomy places the organism in Eukaryota, Metazoa, Chordata, Actinopteri, Batrachoidiformes, Batrachoididae. The record is from RefSeq and is a predicted model, not a curated record.